CCUACGGGAGGCAGCAGUGAGGAAUAUUGGUCAAUGGGCGGAAGCCUGAACCAGCCAAGUAGCGUGCAGGAUGACGGCCCUACGGGUUGUAAACUGCUUUUAUACGGGAAUAACGCGCCUUACGUGUAGGGCUUUGCAUUUACCGUAUGAAUAAGGACCGGCUAAUUCCGUGCCAGCAGCCGCGGUAAUACGGAAGGUCCGGGCGUUAUCCGGAUUUAUUGGGUUUAAAGGGAGCGUAGGCCGCAUGUCAAGCGUGCUGUGAAAUUUCCGGGCUCAACCCGGGCCUUGCAGCGCGAACUGGCUUGCGUGAGGUCGCUGAAAGCAGGCGGAAUUCGUCGUGGAGCGGUGAAAUG
This 353-nucleotide ribosomal RNA is filed under the name uncultured bacterium. RNAcentral's name for it is "partial 16S ribosomal RNA". It matches the Rfam family "Bacterial small subunit ribosomal RNA", at positions 338 to 688 of the family's 1533-position model. The record is from RNAcentral.